Molecule: ribosomal RNA, 468 nt
Filed under: uncultured bacterium
Lineage: Bacteria
Description: partial 16S ribosomal RNA
Rfam family: Bacterial small subunit ribosomal RNA
Source: RNAcentral
GACGAACGCUGGCGGCGUGCUUAACACAUGCAAGUCGAACGGACAGGCCCUGCUUUUGUGGGGUGCUCGAGUGGCGAACGGGUGUGUAACACGUGAGUAACCUGCCCUUGACUUUGGGAUAACUUCAGGAAACUGGGGCUAAUACCGGAUAGGAGCUCCUGCUGCAUGGUGGGGGUUGGAAAGUUUCGGCGGUUUGGGAUGGACUCGCGGCUUAUCAGCUUGUUGGUGAGGUAGUGGCUUACCAAGGCUUUGACGGGUAGCCGGCCUGAGAGGGUUACCGGCGACAGGGGGACUGAGAGACGGACCAGACGGCAACGGGAGGCAGCAGGGGGGAAUAUUGCACAAUGGGCGGAAGCGAGAUGCAGCAACGCCGCGUGCGGAAUGACGGCCUUCGGGUGGAAAACCGCUGUCGACUGUGACGAAGCGUGAGUGACGGUAAUGGGUAAAGAAGCACCGGCUAACUACGUG